UAGUAUCCCUUACUGCUCCAAAAUGUUGAGCAGUUCCCAUCUGCCUAGGGGAUAAAUAAAAUAAUAUGGAAUAAAUUAAAAAAAAAAAAAAACAGGUAGAUUUCUCUUUUCUAAGCCUGUUUGCUUUUAUCUUCAGUCCCAUUAGGCCCCUUUGCAGAGCCUGCCCUCCUGGGAAAGCGUUUUUCUUACACUCCAAUGCUCUCUGCUUUUUGGAACCUGGUUCUUCGCUUCUGCUGAAAUGUGUUCCUCCCUGAAAACUCUCCUUGAAUGCUAUUCAUCCUUGAAGGGUGUCUAACUCCAGCGCAUGUGCCCAACCGCUAGUGAUGCCCAACCGCUAGUGAUGCCCAACCGCCCGCCAGUGAUCCUUAAGGGUGUCUAAGAUCAGCGCAUGCGCCAAACUUCAAGCGACGUUUGAGGAGUCUUUUGAAGGAUGAAAAGGAAGAAAAAAAGUAAAAGCUCUGUUGACAGUUAAAAGCAGACAUCUGUUCUCUUUACCAAGACCCUCAGAGACCUGUCAGAGUGGACAAAGGCCUCUGGAGCCCUUCCCAAGAACCUUCUUGCUUGGAAGAUUAGCAGUUUCUUCUCAAGCAUCGCUCUCAACUUGCUAAACACCUUGAAAAUAGUUCCAGCAAGACGUGUCUCCCUCAGAUCCCAGGGCAGGUAAGUGCUUGUGCGCGUCCAGCGCUUCUGCUCGUAGCCAUGUGGUCCUGACCAUCUGGCACUUA
This 725-nucleotide long non-coding RNA is filed under the name Bos indicus x Bos taurus (hybrid cattle). RNAcentral's name for it is "lncRNA (ENSBIXG00000030231.1)". The record is from RNAcentral. Lineage: Eukaryota; Metazoa; Chordata; Mammalia; Artiodactyla; Bovidae.